GGAUUAAAUGAAGAAUGAUGCAUGCUAACAUGUAAACCAUUUAGCCUUAUGUCCAGAACACAGCCAAUACAGAGGGAGAAGAGGGACUUUUUAUUAACUACAUUGUUCAUGCGUUUCAUUGUCUUAGGCAUUAAUUUGUUUAGUUACCUCUAAAUCCAUAUGAAAAAUUAAAUAUUAUCCCACUCAAGUGACUUACGAGUGGCAGUUGCUGUCAUUUGCCUAUGAAUUUGGCCAGUUGUUGGCUUUAUUCAUUUGCUGAGUGAAUUUUAUAUUCAUGGUAUGAAAGUCAACAAUAACCUAGGCUAAUUUGUGUGAUAAUAGAAAGGAUGGGCACUUCUUGGUGAUUCACUCAUCUCUCAUUUAUCGUGGACUUCCUUUGCUCUGCACACUUUGCCUGCGUCACUUGUCCUUGGGCUUUUGCCACAGUGGGUCUCCAGUCCUUCUGGCCAAUAUUCUGCCUGGGAAGUGGGAAAGAACUGUGGCAAAAAUGCCAUCUCAGAUCAGGCAAAAGAUGAUGGGAAAUGCAGCCUUAUGACGUGAUGUCCUGUUUAGAGGCUUUUCAUCAGUUUUAAUGAAACACAAAUGUGCCCAAAGCAAGUU
Molecule: long non-coding RNA, 600 nt
Filed under: Bos taurus (domestic cattle)
Lineage: Eukaryota; Metazoa; Chordata; Mammalia; Artiodactyla; Bovidae
Description: long non-coding RNA NONBTAT016978
Source: RNAcentral